RNAcentral lists this ribosomal RNA (478 nucleotides) under uncultured bacterium. RNAcentral describes it as "bacterial SSU rRNA". It matches the Rfam family "Bacterial small subunit ribosomal RNA", at positions 40 to 507 of the family's 1533-position model. The record is from RNAcentral.
CGGCAUGCCUUACACAUGCAAGUCGAACGGCAGCAUGGAAGAGCUUGCUCUUCUGAUGGCGAGUGGCGAACGGGUGAGUAAAGCAUCGGAACGUACCGUGUAGUGGGGGAUAACGUAGCGAAAGUUACGCUAAUACCGCAUACGCACUGAGGUGGAAAGCAGGGGAUCGCAAGACCUUGCGCUAUACGAGCGGCCGAUGUCAGAUUAGCUAGUUGGUAGGGUAAAGGCCUACCAAGGCGACGAUCUGUAGCGGGUCUGAGAGGAUGAUCCGCCACACUGGGACUGAGACACGGCCCAGACUCCUACGGGAGGCAGCAGUGGGGAAUUUUGGACAAUGGGCGAAAGCCUGAUCCAGCCAUGCCGCGUGAGUGAAGGAGGCCUUCGGGUUGUAAAGCUCUUUCGGCUGGGAAGAAAUCGCACAGGCUAAUACUCUGUGUGGAUGACGGUACCAGCACAAGAAGCACCGGCUAACUACGUG